UAGGCAGCCAUUCUGUUCCUAAAGAAACUCUGCAUGACGUUGUGGUUCAGAAAGCCGUGGCAUCUUCACCACCUGUUCAAGCCGAAGCACCCUCUACAUCUCAUCCUGUCCAUCAUGAUCUCUUGAGUCUGUCGCCUUUGCAGGAACCUUCAAUUUCCUCUACCCCUCCGUCAAUAGAUUUAUUUGCUGGCUUUGACCAACAACUGCCACCUACAACUAGUGUUCAGCAAAGUCAACCAGCCGAACCAUCAAUUUCCUCUACCCCUCAGUCAAUAGAUUUAUUUGCUGGCUUUGACCAACAACUGCCACCUACGACUAGUGUUCAGCAAAGUCAACAGGCAGCCCCAUUGGUUGCUGACGAAGGAUGGGCUUUCUUCCUCGAUACACCUCAACACGUAUCUCCGACUUCCAUUUCAAACGUGCAAGCUCAGGUAGCCACCGCAAUAGCUGCAUUCCCU
RNAcentral lists this long non-coding RNA (458 nucleotides) under Oryza sativa (Asian cultivated rice). Its description in RNAcentral is "long non-coding RNA (OSAT_LNC001670)". The record is from RNAcentral. Lineage: Eukaryota; Viridiplantae; Streptophyta; Magnoliopsida; Poales; Poaceae.